This is a non-coding RNA of Linepithema humile (Argentine ant), 1003 nucleotides long. The record is from RefSeq and is a predicted model, not a curated record. Lineage: Eukaryota; Metazoa; Arthropoda; Insecta; Hymenoptera; Formicidae.
UAAUAAGAAUAACUCGGAGAUAUUUUAUAUAACAAUAUUUCGAAAAUAUCGCCAAGUCAGUGGAUUAAUUAAGGCUAUCAAUUGCAUGUGCGAGAGCUGCAAUUUGUAAUUCCGAGUAUUAAAACAUCAAGAUAGGUACGCGGGAUUUUCCAUACACACUGUAAAUUACAAGAAUGUAAUGAGUAAAUAUUUGUUGACUUCUGGAUUUGCGCUCAGUCGACGCGCAAAGGGUGUACACCCGCAAAAGCUGAUUUGAAGCCUGCUGCUGUGUGCGAAUCAUCGUCAUCGUCGCGGACCGGCCGUCUAUAAUUGAUUUGAUUGCUACAUAUGCAACACGGUGCGAGUUCAAAGCGAUCGGACACAGGAAUGUGCGAUUCACACAUCAGAGGAGAAGGAAGUCGCCGAUUGUCGCCGGAGCGAAGAACGCGACGCGACCGCGUAAUAAGCCUCCUCUAAUCAGUGUUAAGUAAUUGAAGUUAAGCCGAGUCAAAUGUUAAUUAGUAAUUAUCCCGACUACCCACGCUGAUCUCUCUGUUGUUCCGAAUUGUUGUUGUACAUUAUAACGAUUAACGAUAACGAGGGAGAUUAAAAAACCAACUCGAUACCGAGCGAUAGUCAGUAACUUAACUGGUUGUAAGUUCCGUUAUUAUAUAUCUAUUUAUUUAAAAAUAUACACAUGUUGUGCACGUCAGUUCCAGAUUAAAUUUAUCGACUCACAAGUGUUUCGAGCACUAAGUAACUCAAAGAAGUUACGACCUGAAUAAAAAGAUCACGAUACGAAUAAAUAAUUCAUCACUUUUAUCGCAUAACCGGGCUUAUCAACUCUCUUUGCAAUACUGCCUCUUAUCACCAACUGGAGAGUGUAUGUAAUGUAAUCGUCUUUAUUAUCUAUAUAUGUGUGAGAAAUGUUUGUAUUCCCGGCAAAGCAGUUGUGUUAAUUACGUUUUCCGGCUAUUCAAAUAGUCGCAGACCGCGUAAUUACUUGCACGUGUCUAAAGUCGAA